UGUAUUCACUACUGUAAGUCGCUCUGGAUAAGAGUGUCUGCUAAAUGACUAAAA
Molecule: non-coding RNA, 54 nt
Organism: Salmo salar (Atlantic salmon)
Lineage: Eukaryota; Metazoa; Chordata; Actinopteri; Salmoniformes; Salmonidae
Source: Rfam